RNAcentral lists this ribosomal RNA (253 nucleotides) under uncultured bacterium. RNAcentral describes it as "partial 16S ribosomal RNA". It matches the Rfam family "Bacterial small subunit ribosomal RNA", at positions 524 to 776 of the family's 1533-position model. The record is from RNAcentral.
UACAGAGGAGCCAAGCGUUGUCCGGAUUGACUGGGCGUAAAGCGCACGCAGGCGGUUGCGCGCGUGGGGUGUGAAAUCUGGCCGCUUAACGGCCAGGCGCCAUCCCAUACGGCGCGACUGGAGUGAUGCAGAGGUCGAUGGAAUUGCCGGUGUAGUGGUGAAAUGCGUAGAGAUCGGCAGGAACACCCGUGGCGUAAGCGGCCACCUAGCCCGCACCUGACGCUGAGGCGCGACAGCGUGGGGAGCGAACGGG